UACGUAGGGUGCGAGCGUUGUCCGGAAUUAUUAGGCGUAAAGAGCUUGUAGGCGGUUUGUCGCGUCUGCUGUGAAAAUCCGGGGCUCAACUCCGGACUUGCAGUGGGUACGGGCAGGCUAGAGUGUGGUAGGGGAGACUGGAAUUCCUGGUGUAGCGGUGGAAUGCGCAGAUAUCAGGAGGAACACCGAUGGCGAAGGCAGGUCUCUGGGCCACUACUGACGCUGAGAAGCGAAAGCAUGGGGAGCGAACAGG
This 253-nucleotide ribosomal RNA is filed under the name uncultured bacterium. RNAcentral describes it as "partial 16S ribosomal RNA". It matches the Rfam family "Bacterial small subunit ribosomal RNA", at positions 524 to 776 of the family's 1533-position model. The record is from RNAcentral.